This is a non-coding RNA of Carica papaya (papaya), 422 nucleotides long. The record is from RefSeq and is a predicted model, not a curated record. Lineage: Eukaryota; Viridiplantae; Streptophyta; Magnoliopsida; Brassicales; Caricaceae.
AGAUAAGGCUUUCACUGCAGUUUUGUGUUGGUGUAGUUAUAAGGCCAUUCCUGAACCUUAUGCACCAUAUUGGAUGAAGAAAUGGGUUUCUUGACCUUGCUCUACUAUUCAGGUCUCUUGGUUGGGUUACUUAAAUUGACGACUAUUCAAUUACUGGGAUUUUGACAUGGGAUCAGCUCACAAAUAGAUGGUAGAAAAGCCCUACAUGUCAUUUAGGGUCAAGACUACGUCAGAUUGAAUGGUUGGAACAAACCAGAUAGUAAUUCUUUCCUCACAAAAUUUGCUCUAUUGAUGUAUCAAUGUUUUAGUGCUGAGAUAUGAAACCUAUGAGAUAGUCCAGGACUUGAGGCAGAAACGGAAAUGCCUAAUUCUCAUAUUCAUGAUUUAAUAAUAUGUUAUCGGCAAAAGGUGCUGUUACUGAA